RNAcentral lists this ribosomal RNA (250 nucleotides) under uncultured prokaryote. RNAcentral's name for it is "partial 16S rRNA". It matches the Rfam family "Bacterial small subunit ribosomal RNA", at positions 525 to 775 of the family's 1533-position model. The record is from RNAcentral.
ACGGAGGAUGCAAGCGUUAUCCGGAUUCAUUGGGUUUAAAGGGUGCGUAGGCGGCUUUUUAAGUCAGUGGUGAAAUCCUGUCGCUUAACGAUAGAAUUGCCAUUGAUACUGAAGAGCUUGAGUACAAUUGAGGUAAGCGGAAUGUGUAGUGUAGCGGUGAAAUGCUUAGAUAUUACACAGAACACCGAUGGCGGAGGCAGCUUACUAAACUGUUACUGAAGAUGAUGCACGAAGCGUGGGGAGCGAACAG